This 9126-nucleotide long non-coding RNA is filed under the name Homo sapiens (human). RNAcentral's name for it is "HSALNT0311407". Lineage: Eukaryota; Metazoa; Chordata; Mammalia; Primates; Hominidae. The record is from RNAcentral.
GUUUCUCUUUUGAGUUGCUAUAAAGUACAGACGAUUCUACCAACCUUGACACAAACGCCCAGCUGCCCCCAGUUCAGUGCCACAGAGAAAAGCCUUGCAGAACAGGUUGAGUUUGUGGAUGGGCAUGGGGUAGAAGGUAUCAUCUCUUCUCUAUCAAUGACUUGGGUGAUACUUCUGGCAACAAAACAGACAGUUCUCGGCCUCUGUGUUUUCAUUGUCCAACUGAAGAUUAGACAAGAGGCAGCAUGGGGUGGUGGAUAAAUCGUGGACCAGGAUUGAAGCGAAGAUCUGCUCAUCUGGGACACUCACCAGACGGAGUCUUGCUCUGUCGCCCAGGCUGGAGUACAGAAGUACAGUGGCGCGAUCUGCAACCUCCGUUUCCUGGGUUCAAGCAAUUCCCCUGUCUCAGCCUCCCGAGUAGCUGGGACUACAGACCCAUGCCAUCAUACCCAGAUAAUUUUUGUAUUUUUAGUAGAGACAAGGUUUCACCAUAUCAGUCAGGCUGGUCUCGAACUCCUGACCUCAGGUGAUCCCCCUGCCUUGGCCUCCCAAAGUGCUGGGAUGACAGGCGUAAGCCACCUCGCCUGGCCAGUUUAUCAAUUUCGUUAAGCUUUCCAAAUAAUCAAAUGUGUUGGUCCUGUUGAUUUUUCUCUUUCAUAUGUUCGCUUUCUAUUUUAUUAAUAUCUAUGUUUUUCUGUAUUCUUUCCAUUUAUUUACCUUCUUUUUGUAAUUAUCUGAGAUGAAUAAAUCUUGGCUUGGUAAUUAUAUAUAGAAUUACUAAGCUGAGAUUCAGAGAAGAGGGAUGAACCUGGAACUUGGAGCCACUUUUGCCCAGGAGAUAAUUUAUAUAUACAUGUAUAUAUAUUCAGUGUAUGUACACAUAAAUGAGGGCGGUUGGCUCUAAGCAACAAACACUCACCUCUGCAUAACUUAAGCACAAAAUAGCCACUCACAGAAUGGAAGGAAGGGCUGAAGAACCAGGUUUCAAAGAGAAUAGGUGCGAGGGCAGGCCAGGGAUCUGGGAAGCAGAAACUACUAUUUUUUUAUUGCUCUGUUCAAAAGUCAAAUUCCAAGAAGUGAGCAUCUGAUCUGUGUCAAGUGCCCACCUCUUGGCUAGGAGCAGGUAGGGCAGACUGCAUGCAGUGAGAAAGACUGGUUCCUCUGAAGCAAAUUCAGAGGCUAUUUAUCAGAAGAUUUGGGAAUGAAUAAUGGGCAGACAAAAAUAACAAAUGUUCACUGUAGAGAGAGAAAAAGAAAUACAGCAGGAGAGACACAGGAGCAAGGAAGCAGAAGAGAAAGAAAGAAAAGUGGAGAGAAAUUGGUAAAAUGAGGUGGGGUGGUUUGGAUGUGUGAGCCAUCCGAAAUGAGAGAAUGUGCCAACCAUCAAGAAAAAUCAUUGAAGCUCUUCCCCUAUCCAGGGACACAUAUGACUUUUGUCAGUCUUCAUGGGCCCCUUCCUCCAUUAAAAAUACUAAAAAUUGGCUGGGCGCAGUGGCUCAUGCCUGUAAUCCCUGCACUUUGGGAGGCCGAGGCGGGUGGAUCACGAGGUCAGGAGGUUGAGACCAUCCUGGCUAACAUGGUGAAGCCCCGUCUCUACUAAAAAUACAAAAAAUUAGCCGGAUGUGGUGGCAGGCGCCUGUAGCCCCAGCUACCUGGGAGGCUGAGGCAGGAGAAUGGCAUGAACCCGGGAGGCGGAGCUGCAGUGAGCCGAGAUCGCACCACUGCACUCCAGCCUGGGCGACGGAGCAAGACUCCGUCUCAAAAAAAAGAAAAAUUAAAAAUCAUAUUUUAUGACGGUAUUGGUAUAAAGACAAAUGUAAUUCAGACUGGAUUUAUUGUUAUGUAUCAUGAUUAUUAUAUUCAUGUUUUUCUUCUGAUCUUAAAAGGAAUCAAAAUUAAGACAUUUUUAUGAACCCCUAAAAGUAUCGUGGGCCCUAGAUGCUCUGCCUACUCCUUCUUCUCUUCUGUAAGAUGCAGCUUGCAUUGGCAUUUGCUGCCGUCUCCAUGCACGUCAGUCCAUCUUCCAGCUGCCAGCACCCAAAGCACUUUGCCCGAGAGCUCUCUCUGGCUGCUGGAGGCAGCUAUUUGACAUCCUUAUCCCACAGCUCUUAAACAAUAGGUAAUGGGAGAUGGUAUUUAAAUACCCCAAAUCCUUACCCCUCAGAGGCACAUGUUCUUCAUCAACUCCCAGAGGACCUAAGCAAGAUUAACCUCUAGUCCCCCAGUGUGGUAACUUGGUUAGUAUGAACUUCUGUUGGCUACUUUCCCUUUCCUGUUUCACUCCUCCACUGCCCUGCCAGUGGUUUCCGGGAUCUCCUCCCCUCAAAAAAACAUUCACACUCAAAUCCUUGUCUCAGUCUGCUGCUGGGAGAACUCAAACUGAGACACCACAGAGACAGUUCAGAUAUGAGUCCCUGUCCAAAUCUCAUGUUGAAUUGUAAUCCCCAGUAUUGGAGGUAGGGCCUGGUGCAGGUGAUUCAGUCAAAGGGGUGGAUGCAGGUGAUUAAGUCAAAGGGGUGGAUGCAGGUGAUUAAGUCAAAGGGGUGGAUGCAGGUGAUUAAGUCAAAGGGGUGGAUGCAGGUGAUUCAGUCAAAGGGGUGAAUUUCUCAUGAGUGGUUUAGCGCCAUCCCCUUGGUGCCAUCACUACUCGUGAUAGUGAGUGACUUCUUGCAAGAUCUGGCUAUUUAAAAGUGUGUGGCACCUCGCUCUCUCACUCUUGCUCCUGCUUUCACCAUGUGGCAUGCCUGCUCUGCCUUAGCCUUCUACCAUGAAGCUUCCUGAAACUUCUCUAGAAACCUAGCAGACAUUAGCACCAUGCUUCCUAUGAAGCCCGCAGAAGCAAUUAAACCUCUUUGUAAAUUACCCAGUCUCAGGUAUUUCUAUAUAGCAAUGCAAGAACAGCCUAACACAACUCCACUUCAGGUUAGCUUGCACUGGGGCAUGAGGAAACAAAGCUCUCUAAAAUAUCAGCCUUACAACCAAAUACAAAGGGCUAGUGACUUCACUCUGCAGAGAGGGGAAGGACAAAGAGUCUUCUACUAAUUAUUUUCUUACAGAGCUGUGACCUUGUUGGGAGGGGUAAUCUGGCCUUGAAUAUUUCCUUGGUUCACUGUUGUGAAAAUAUUAUUCCAGAAGUUUUUCUGGUCAUCGGACUUUCUUAGCCUGGCAUUUAUUCUUGUUUCAAUUUCAUAUGAAAACUUUAGUGUUGGCCAAAGAAUGCUGGACUAUUUAAUUCUAUCAAAGCCUGGUGAAAUCUUUCUUCCUGGUGUUUUGGCUGGCGGAGUUACUUAAUUUGUACAAACCAACAGCAACAGGGCAAAGCACUUUGACAAUAUAAAGGGUUAUGGAAGGAAUAAUUCACAUUAAUCAUCUGAGUUAUGCUUUCAUUUGCUUUAAUGUGGUGGAUUUGGCCAUGGGGGCAGUAGGUCUUAUGACUGCCCCUCAGAAUAAAAGUUUAAAGGAAUGUGUAUUUCUGGAAAAUCACUUUUCUGUAACACACCCAGAGUUCUUUUAAAGAUACUUUAGUUUGCAAAACUUCAAAUGAAGAGCCAUUAUUUACUUUAUAAUCCAAGGCAGAGCCAAUGGGAAACCCUGGGAGAGAAGAAGCUGGAGGAAUCAUACAUGUUUUCAUGGUGGAACUUUGCAACAAAUGUAAUUUAUUUUUUCUUUAAAAUAGUUCUUAUGGUUUUUCCCACAUUGUUACAUGGGCAAUUUUCAUCUCUGGUGUUCCUAAGGAGUCAGAUCACAAAACAGCAUAAUGCUUAACAACAUGAGCUUCAAACUCAGAAAGAUCUGGGUUUGAAUCCUACCACUUGUGUGUGACUUUGGACUGGUUACCUAACCUCUCUAUACCCCUGUAGACUGAAGAUAAUUAUUUUACCCUCCUCAUAUACACAUGAGGUUAGUGAGGGUAUAAAAAAUAAUGCACAACAGUACUUAGCAUGCACUGAAUGUAUUAUGUACUAACUAUUACUAUUUUUUGUUUCUUGAUCUUAGCCAAUGUUCCCUUAACCUGAAUCCCUCUAAUAACUUUUCUAGACACUCAUAACAUCCUCAGCAACUACCAAGCAGUUUCCACUCAAGGCCAGCGUGUCCUCUGCAUGGCUGAUCAUCUGGUGUAAGAUCUAGAGCUACAAAAUCCUGCCCACACCUUCGAGUCUCCUGGGAGCCUGAUCCCAAGCUUCUGUCCCCUUGUCCACCAUGUCAGACACUCUUUAGGAUUAGGUGACUAGGGUGGGACUUGGUCAAGUCUGGUGUUAUGAUCUCUAAAGGCCACUAAAAAGCUAACUGGCCACCUACAAGGGAUUUGAGGGCUUGCCUCAACCUUUUCGCCUUAGUGAAGGCAAGGUAAUUAGGUGACACAAUGAGCAGAGGCCUGGAGCACGGAGAGGCAAGAAAAGUAAACUUCAGUAGGGGAUACUGAGGGUACAUCAGAACCCCAAGACGUCCAAGGCAACCAGGGCACACAGGGAAAAGACGAGGGUAGGCCGUGGUCAGAGCUGUCCAGAUGAAGUCCAGAAGUGAGAUGGCCACCAGAGAUGAGUAUGAACUUUGACAUCCUCAACAGUCAACCCAGAUGACCCAGGAGCUCAAAGUAACAACCACAAAAAUAGUAACACAUUCUACUGGUCUUUUGCUUUAUCUCUGAUACGGUUUGGCUGUGUCCCCACCCAAAUCUUAUCUUGAACUGUAGCUCCCAUAAUUCCCAUGUGUCAUAGGAGGGACCUGGUGGGAGGUAAUUGAGUCAUGGAGCAGGUCUUUUCUGUGCUGUUCUCAUGAUAAUAAAUAAGUCUCACGAGAUCUGAUGGUUUUAAAAGGGCAGUUCCCCUGCACAUGCUCUUGCCUGCCACCAUGUAAGACAUUGGCUUUGCUCCUCAUUUGCCUUCCACCAUGACUGUGAGGCCUCCCCAGCCAUGUGGAACUGUGAGUCAAUCAAACUUCCUUUUUUUUUUUGAGAUGGAGUUUCGCUCCUGUUGCCCAGGCUGGAGUGCAAUGGCAAGAUCGCGGCUCACUGCAACCUCCGCCUCCCAGGUUCAAGCGAUUCUUCUGUCUCAGUCUCCCGAGUAGCUGGGAUUACAGGCAUGCACCACCAUGCCCAGCUAAUUUUGUAUUUUUAGUAGAGACAGAGUUUCUCCAUGUUGGUCAGGCUGGUCUCGAACUCCCGACCUCAGGUGAUCCGCCUGCCUCGGCCUCCCAAAGUGCUAGGAUUACAGGCGUGAGCCACCGCACCUGGCCAAACUUCUUUCCUUUGUAAGUUACCCAGUCUCAGGCAUGUCUUUAUUGACAGAGUGAGAACAAACUAAUAUAAUCUCCAUAUCUGGUAGAGUGCUAAGCAGUGGCUGCUUCAUGUAAUAGUCACCAACAUCCAUGUGUGUUUCUGGGGCAGAAGUGCCAAGGCAGAGCCCGCAGUCAGCAGUGGGAGAUCUGGGAAGAAGUCUCCACCUCAGCCCUUCCAUUCACAAGCUGAGCGACAAGGGCAAACCACACAGCCUCCUGAAUCUCAAUAGAUUCACUCUGCUGGGCAGUGGGGAGAGCCAAAUGAGGCAGGGCACAUGAGCUGCUCUGUAAACUUUACAGGGUCGUGCGAAUAAUAUGUGACUCAACUUACUGUGCUUAACCCAGGGUCUGGCACCUGUAGUAAGGUGUUAAUAUUGAAGUUUCCACAGACACAAUGAAACACAAUAGUGUGAAAUUCCAAAGCCAGAUCUCUCAUGCAAAAAUUAUAAGGAAAAUUGUGAGGAACUGGUUUCAUAACUUCUAAGUCCCCUCUUACCUACUCUGGGAAUACAAAAAGAGAGAGAGAGAAUGAGAGAAUUUUGAACAUGUGUGUGAGUAUGUCUGAUGUAUUCAUUUUUCAGAGAAAGCUGUGGUCAUGUCAUGAGGCUUCCCACUCCACCCAUGGGAAAGAGGGGCCCCAGGAGCUGAGGGGAGAUGCUGGAUCUCUAGGGGCUGUGGAAGAGCCCUCAACUGACUCCUGGAAGCGAGAAGCAUCUGUUAGGAUGAAGGGAACACCCAGUGAAGGGCCAACAGGAGACCUUCAAGGAGCCCCCAGAUGCUCCCUAAGAAAAAUGAUCAGCUCCAAACACCUGCCAUACCAAGAAAAAACAGAUCUAGUUCUAUUCACAAUCAAGCAGAUUUUUCCUGCUCCUACAUCUCCAUUCUCCCUCUGCAGCUACCCCUGACAGUCAGCAACUGUCCACCACGUUGGGCUCUGUACAGACUGAUGGUUCUGUAUUGUGAAUAUACUCUCCCCAGAGACACUGUUCAACUGCAGAAAUCUGCCCCUGUGCCUUUAGAAUUCACCAGCAUCCUGGGGUGAAAGAGAUCCAAGGGAAGUUUUACCUUUCUCUCUGCCUCUUGGCAGGCAACCUGGAACAAGUCUUGAUGCAUGAUCCCAAACCAGACUAGCUACAUAAUCUGUGGGGCCUAAGGUAAGAUGAAAAGGUAGGGACCCUUGUUUAGAAAUUAUUAAGAAUUUUAAGACAGCAAUAACAGAACAUUAAACCAAGAGUAGGGCCCUUCUAAGUGUGGAGUCCUAUGUAAACUGCACAGGUCAGGGGCCCACGAAGCUGGCCCUGACCCCAAAUUAUCUCUUCCAUUAGUAAGCACUUAUAGAGGAGUCCGGAAUGUGGCUGCCUUUGAGGGAGAUCUUCCUUAAACUGCACCCUUCACAGUGAAUUAAACAAGCAUCAGCCAGCAGUUCUCUUCUACCUCCUUCAAGCAGGAAACUAAGGCAAUGGGAGCUGACUAGUGGCCGUUGUAACAGGGGAAUUCUAUGAAUGCAAGAAAGUCUCAGCCCAGCAAUGUGGCCAUGGGUCCCAGAGGAAAAAAUUCCUUGGCAGGUAGUCUUCAUGUGAGAGCUCGGGACGGCUGGAACAUUUAUUUACCUGCAAUCAUGAGAACUGAAGAGUGACUCUCAGCUCACAAUAGCAUGGGCUGGUCCUGAGCUGUUCAGGAUUUUGUGGGCUGGGUGGUGUAAAUCCUGGCCAGAUUCUCCUGGGAGGCAGCCAUACCCCCCGUGGGCAGGAAAACCUCCUGAGAGACUAAACAGGGCAAGCUUUUAAAAAAACAAAAUAAUUAGUAGAAGGAAGAGUGAGCACUUUCAAGGGGUCCCCUUCGGGGUCCUCACGCCUUUAACCACCCCUCCCUUCUUGGCUCACUGGUGAGUGUCAGCCCAGCGGGGACACAAAGAGAUCCCAGCUACAUAUCAGCAGCUCGCAAAGCAGAAGAAAGGCUCUGGUGUCCGGGCUUACUCCUGUUCCUUCAUCGUCUUAGAAAUAGGGACUUGGAGGCAAACAGUCCCAUUACAAUGACGAAGACUACUCUCAACAUGAUGCACCCAAAUGAAUGCAUUUACCAGUUUGAUGUCUGCCUUUCUUCCUGGUUUAUGUUUCAAUGUAUUUGUUGAAUAAAUGAAUGAAUUUAAAAGGGAGAAGUGAAUGGAAAUUUUGUAGAGAUUUGUCAGGGCUCCUUAAAAGGCCUGGCUCUAUCUCCACUUGUCUUAGGUUGCAUUCCGUAGAAGCAGAUCCUGAUAAGAUGAUGAAGUGCACAUGUCUCUUGAGAAAAUGCUCUCAGGAGAAGGGGGGAAGGUAAGCCAGGUGCAGCAGAGGACUGAGCAAGGUUGGGGUCUCAGCUGGACACUUCUUGGACCUGUUCCCACGGGAGCUCUGGAGUAUGAACUGUACCACAGAAUUGUCUCACCUAGAGAUGCAGAACAGCAACCCAAGUCCCUUCUGGAAGCAGCCCUCUCCCUCCUGGCAGCUGACAGAAGUCUCUCUGGCCAGGCCGGCCUUUUGGCUGCUCUGCAUAUGGAAGUUCAAUUACUGUCAAUGGGAGGCCCAUCGGCAGGGUGAGGGCAGAAUACACAAUGGAGAUCGGUGUACCAGAUAGGCGCCUAGAUCAAAGAAGAACCCAGAGUUUGUGAAGUCCUUUCAUCCUCCCUGAUGAAAGGGAGAAGCUUACUGCUGUUUUCAUGGCUCUGCAUGCCCGGGGAAAGAGGAAGGCCACAGGAAGGUGACAGCUGAGGCAGGGUAUAACAGCAGGUCCCCAGGUCUGGCUCCUGGAGGAUGGGACACACAACGUGGGAACCGGCAAGUCACCAGAGUCAUCUCAGCCAAGAUCAACCAAUAGUCAAUUACCAGGAACGUGAGAGAAUUCUGAGACCAGGACUGCUCAGCCACCUCUGCCUAAAAUACCAACACACAGAACAGUAAAGUGAAUGGAUGUUUAUUAUCCUAAGCCACUAUAUUUUGAGAUUGUACCUCAUGCAGCACUAUUAUGACCAUAGGUGACUGAUAUAAAAAGUAAGGAAUUAUGAAUCAUAAGAAAAAGAUGAACCAAGGAAAGAAUCAGCUUUGAAGAGGUGGUAAACUAUGGGAGUUGGGUAUGCUUUUCUGCAAUGAUCUUGUCUUAUUUUCUUUUUUUUUAAAGGAAGGCCUACCUGAAUAAUUCUGUGCAGGAAGAUAAAAGCAAGAUUAGAGUGAGACCUAUUCAGGGAGGUGUCAUUUUGUGAGCAGUUCAUGACCAUACCCAAUAAUCAGGGUCUGUCUACAUAUCUGAAUUUUAAUCCUUACAUAUAUGGCCUUAGAUGAACUAAAAUAAUUAUAAGAAGUUGUGUCAUUGUAGACUUCUAUUAAUAAACAUAUACCUACAUAUAUACAUGUUUAUGCACAAGAAUCAGCCUGUAUAGGCAUAUUUACCUAGGCAUAUUCAUUGCAUAGUGCUCUCAUGGUUGUGACUUGGGUGGGUGUAGCAAAGUGACAGGCCAGGAUCUCACCACAUAGGAAGAACUUUGGUCUGGCCAAGACAGGGCCAGCUAGUGGCCUCCCUGCCAUUAGCUCUGUCUGCCACCCAAGACAGAAGAAGCCAACAGUCCAAAGGGACAUAGCAGCUUCAUUUUGGUUCUAGUUAGUGGUGCCAUAGAAGAGGAACAGGCAGAUAGGAUCUCAUCUAGGCCAUGAGACAAGCAAGAGUUCUCAAGAAGGGUAGACUCUUAGAAACAGGAGGCCAGUGAGACAUGGAUCUAAGAGGCAUAGCCAGGUAGAAGCAGCCCUAGUCAAUGGCUAGAAGUAUAAUAUCCCAAUAAAAGAGGCAUUCUUAGAAAGCUGGGCAGCAUCUCAGGACCAC